GUGUAGCUAAGUGGCAGAGCACUUGCCUAAUAUGCAUAAGGCCCUGGGUUCAAUCCCCAGUGC
This 63-nucleotide transfer RNA is filed under the name Urocitellus parryii (Arctic ground squirrel). RNAcentral's name for it is "Spermophilus parryii (Arctic ground squirrel) tRNA". It matches the Rfam family "tRNA", at positions 5 to 66 of the family's 71-position model. Rfam says of the family: Transfer RNA (tRNA) molecules are approximately 80 nucleotides in length. Their secondary structure includes four short double-helical elements and three loops (D, anti-codon, and T loops). The record is from Rfam by way of RNAcentral. RNAcentral also lists the same sequence under 1 other name. Lineage: Eukaryota; Metazoa; Chordata; Mammalia; Rodentia; Sciuridae.